RNAcentral lists this small nuclear RNA (163 nucleotides) under Macaca mulatta (Rhesus monkey). Its description in RNAcentral is "U1 spliceosomal RNA (ENSMMUG00000028067.3)". It matches the Rfam family "U1 spliceosomal RNA". From Rfam's summary of the family: U1 is a small nuclear RNA (snRNA) component of the spliceosome (involved in pre-mRNA splicing). Its 5' end forms complementary base pairs with the 5' splice junction, thus defining the 5' donor site of an intron. The record is from RNAcentral. Lineage: Eukaryota; Metazoa; Chordata; Mammalia; Primates; Cercopithecidae.
AUACUUACCUGGCAGGGGAGAUACCAUGAUCACGAAGGUGGUUUUCCCAGGGCGAGGCUUAUCCAUUGCACUCCGGAUGUGCUGACCCCUGCAAUUUCCCCAAAUGUGGGAAACUCGACUGCAUAAUUUGUGGUAGUGGGGAACUGCGUUCGCGCUUUCCUCU